UGGUAAUGCCGGAUGCUCCAUCACACUGCAUGGUGUGUUGGGAAAGCCUUUGCGGCAUGGGAUGGGGUCGCGUCCUAUCAGCUUGAUGGCGGGGUAACGGCCCACCAUGGCUUCGACGGGUAGCCGGCCUGAGAGGGCGACCGGCCACAUUGGGACUGAGAUACGGCCCAGACUCCUACGGGAGGCAGCAGUGGGGAAUAUUGCACAAUGGGCGCAAGCCUGAUGCAGCGACGCCGCGUGAGGGAUGGAGGCCUUCGGGUUGUAAACCUCUUUUGUUAGGGAGCAAGGCAUUUUGUGUUGAGUGUACCUUUCGAAUAAGCACCGGCUAACUACGUGCCAGCAGCCGCGGUAAUACGUAGGGUGCAAGCGUUAUCCGGAAUUAUUGGGCGUAAAGGGCUCGUAGGCGGUUCGUCGCGUCCGGUGUGAAAGUCCAUCGCUUAACGGUGGAUCCGCGCCGGGUACGGGCGGGCUUGAGUGCGGUAGGGGAGACUGGAAUUCCCGGUGUAACGGUGGAAUGUGUAGAUAUC
RNAcentral lists this ribosomal RNA (527 nucleotides) under Bifidobacterium breve. Its description in RNAcentral is "bacterial SSU rRNA". It matches the Rfam family "Bacterial small subunit ribosomal RNA", at positions 161 to 698 of the family's 1533-position model. The record is from RNAcentral. Lineage: Bacteria; Bacillati; Actinomycetota; Actinomycetes; Bifidobacteriales; Bifidobacteriaceae.